This 558-nucleotide long non-coding RNA is filed under the name Homo sapiens (human). RNAcentral's name for it is "non-protein coding lnc-HEATR6-1:15". Lineage: Eukaryota; Metazoa; Chordata; Mammalia; Primates; Hominidae. The record is from RNAcentral.
AUCCUCAUCAUCUUCAGCCUAGAGGUACAAGAGCUUCAGGCUGCAGGAGACCGGCUUUUGGAUACUGCUAAUCAGUCCUAGCACUCUUUCUCUUUGAACCUGGACAAGGUGUCUGACCCUUCUCAACACAGCAUCAGACAGCCACCUCUAUUGACUGAAGUUGACAAUGGAGAAUAAAACUCAUUACCCCUGCUGAAUCCAGGGGCCCCUUUUUACAGAUGAGAAAAGUUCCAGAAAGACCCAGAGACAUAAUCAGGUACCUGCGUCGAGCUCUGCACAGGUGACUGGGACUGCAACCCCGGAGACCACUGUGUCAGCAAUGGGUGUGGCCAUGAGUGUGUUGCAGGGUAAGGACAGAUGAAGAGUUAUCUUAAGGAUCAUCUUUCCCUAAGAUCGUCAUCCCUUCCUGGAGUUCCUAUCUUCCAAGAUGUGACUGUCUGGAGUUCCUUGACUAGGAAGAUGGAUGAAAACAGCAAGCCUGUGGAUGGAGACUACAGGGGAUAUGGGAGGCAGGGAAGAGGGGUUGUUUCUUUUAAUAAAUCAUCAUUGUUAAAAGCA